Molecule: ribosomal RNA, 1506 nt
Filed under: uncultured bacterium
Lineage: Bacteria
Description: bacterial SSU rRNA
Rfam family: Bacterial small subunit ribosomal RNA
Source: RNAcentral
AGAGUUUGAUCCUGGCUCAGAUUGAACGCUGGCGGAAUGCUUUACACAUGCAAGUCGAACGGCAGCAUAGAGAGCUUGCUCUCUGAUGGCGAGUGGCGAACGGGUGAGUAAUAUAUCGGAACGUGCCUAGUAAUGGGGAACAACUAAUCGAAAGAUUAGCUAAUACCGCAUACGACCUACGGGUGAAAGCAGGGGAUCUUCGGACCUUGCGUUAUUAGAGCGGCCGAUAUCUGAUUAGCUUGUUGGUAGGGUAAAAGCCUACCAAGGCGACGAUCAGUAGCUGGUCUGAGAGGACGAUCAGCCACACUGGAACUGAGACACGGUCCAGACUCCUACGGGAGGCAGCAGUGGGGAAUUUUGGACAAUGGGGGCAACCCUGAUGGUGCAACGCCGCGUGGAGGAUGACGGUCCUAGGAUUGUAAACUCCUGUCAUUGGGGAGUAAGACUUAAGCGUUAAGAGCGUUUAAGUUUGAUAGUACCCAAAGAGGAAGGGACGGCUAACUUCGUGCCAGCAGCCGCGGUAAUACGAAGGUCCCAAGCGUUGUUCGGAAUUACUGGGCGUAAAGCGUGUGUAGGCUGCGCGGAAAGUCAAAUGUGAAAGCCCGGGGCUCAACCUCGGAACUGCAUUCGAUACUCCCGUGCUAGAGUAAUGGAGAGGUAAGUGGAAUUCCUGGUGUAGCAGUGAAAUGCGUGGAUAUCAGGAGGAACAUCAAUGGCGAAGGCAACUUACUGGACAUUUACUGACGCUCAGACACGAAGGCUAGGGUAGCGAAAGGGAUUAGAUACCCCUGUAGUCCUAGCAGUAAACGGUGCUCGCUUGGUGUGGGAGGAUUCGACCCCUUCUGUGCCGGAGCUAACGCGUUAAGCGAGCCGCCUGGGAAGUACGGUCGCAAGACUAAAACUCAAAGAAAUUGACGGGGACCCGCACAAGCGGUGGAGUAUGUGGCUUAAUUCGAUGCAACGCGAAGAACCUUACCUAGGCUUGACAUGCUUGUCGUACUCUCCCGAAAAGGAGAGGUCACUUCGGGUGGACAAUGCACAGGUGCUGCAUGGCCGUCGUCAGCUCGUGUCGUGAGAUGUUUGGUUAAGUCCAGCAACGAGCGCAACCCCUGUGAACUGUUGCCAGCGCGUAAAGGCGGGGACUCUGUUCAGACUGCCCAGAUCAACUGGGAGGAAGGUGGGGACGACGUCAGGUCAGUAUGGCCCUUACGCCUAGGGCUGCACACGUACUACAAUGCCCAGCACAAUGAGAACCGAGACCGCAAGGUGGAGGAAAUCUGUAAAACUGGGCCCAGUUCGGAUUGGAGGCUGCAACUCGCCUCCAUGAAGUUGGAAUCGCUAGUAAUGCCGUAUCAGCUACGACGGCGUGAAUACGUUCCCGGGUCUUGUACACACCGCCCGUCACAUCAUGGAAGCCGGUCGCACCCGAAGUAUAUGCGCUAACUUUAUUGAAGCAGUAUCCUAAGGUGAGGCUGGUAACUGGGAUGAAGUCGUAACAAGGUAACC